This 373-nucleotide ribosomal RNA is filed under the name uncultured organism. RNAcentral's name for it is "partial 16S ribosomal RNA". It matches the Rfam family "Bacterial small subunit ribosomal RNA", at positions 527 to 896 of the family's 1533-position model. The record is from RNAcentral.
GUAGGUGGCAAGCGUUGUCCGGAGUUAUUGGGCGUAAAGCGCGCGCAGGCGGUUCUUUAAGUCUGAUGUGAAAGCCCACGGCUCAACCGUGGAGGGUCAUUGGAAACUGGAGAACUUGAGUACAGAAGAGGAAAGCGGAAUUCCACGUGUAGCGGUGAAAUGCGUAGAGAUGUGGAGGAACACCAGUGGCGAAGGCGGCUUUCUGGUCUGUAACUGACGCUGAGGCGCGAAAGCGUGGGGAGCAAACAGGGAUUAGAUACCCUGGUAGUCCACGCCGUAAACGAUGAGUGCUAAGUGUUAGGGGGUUUCCGCCCCCUUAGUGCUGCAGCUAACGCAUUAAGCACUCCGCCUGGGGAGUACGACCGCAAGAUUG